Long non-coding RNA from Juglans microcarpa x Juglans regia, 283 nucleotides. RefSeq lists it as uncharacterized. The record is from RefSeq and is a predicted model, not a curated record. The transcript is spliced from 3 exons. NCBI's taxonomy places the organism in Eukaryota, Viridiplantae, Streptophyta, Magnoliopsida, Fagales, Juglandaceae.
UAUAAAUUUGAUUGGAAUUUUUUUUUUCCAAAUUUCAGGUUGAUCUUUUGGGUGAUGAAGUUGAUGCUCUUUCAAGCCUUCUGGAAAAAAUAUACAUUGGACUUGAUCAUUAUUCACCAAUUUUGCACCAUCUUAUCCUGGAAUUAUCGAGAUCCUGAAGCUGGUAAAAAGAGAACUGAGUGGAGAAUCUACUGAAUCAGUUUGAUUUGUUCUAUCACUAGAUGCAAGGCCGCAUUUUUCAUUUUGAUCCUUGCUGCUGCUGGUGUAGAUACUGCAGGAUUUU